RNAcentral lists this ribosomal RNA (277 nucleotides) under uncultured bacterium. RNAcentral describes it as "partial 16S ribosomal RNA". It matches the Rfam family "Bacterial small subunit ribosomal RNA", at positions 32 to 317 of the family's 1533-position model. The record is from RNAcentral.
AAUCAACGCUGGCGGCGCGCUUAACACAUGCAAGUCGAGCGAGAAAGGGGAGCAAUCCCUGAGUAAAGCGGCGUACGGGUGAGUAACACGUGGGUAAUCUGCCUUCUAGUGUGGAAUAACCCUGGGAAACCGGGGCUAAUACCGCAUAAGCCUGUGAAGGGAAAGCGAGCAAUCGCGCUAGAAGAGGAGCCCGCGGCCGAUUAGCUAGUUGGUGAGGUAACGGCCCACCAAGGCGAUGAUCGGUAGCCGGCCUGAGAGGGCACACGGCCACACUGGC